AGCGGCGAACGGGUGAGUAACACGUAGGUGAUCUGCCCAUCAGACGGGGACAACGAUUGGAAACGAUCGCUAAUACCGGAUAGGACGAAAGUUUAAAGGUGCUUCUGGCACCGCUGAUGGAUGAGCCUGCGGCGCAUUAGCUAGUUGGUAGGGUAAAGGCCUACCAAGGCGACGAUGCGUAGCCGACCUGAGAGGGUGAACGGCCACACUGGGACUGAGACACGGCCCAGACUCCUACGGGAGGCAGCAGUAGGGAAUCUUCGGCAAUGGGCGAAAGCCUGACCGAGCAACGCCGCGUGAAUGAUGAAGGCCUUCGGGUUGUAAAAUUCUGUUAUAAGGGAAGAACGACUUUAGUAGGAAAUGGCUAGAGUGUGACGGUACCUUAUGAGAAAGCCACGGCUAACUACGUGCCAGCAGCCGCGGUAAUACGUAGGUGGCGAGCGUGAUCCGGAAUUAUUGGGCGUAAAGAGCGCGCAGGUGGUUGAUUAAGUCUGAUGUGAAAGCCCACGGCUUAACCGUGGAGGGUCAUUGGAAACUGGUCGACUUGAGUGCAGAAGAGGGAAGUGGAAUUCCAUGUGUAGCGGUGAAAUGCGUAGAGAUAUGGAGGAACACCAGUGGCGAAGGCGGCUUCCUGGUCUGUAACUGACACUGAGGCGCGAAAGCGUGGGGAGCAAACAGGAUUAGAUACCCUGGUAGUCCACGCCGUAAACGAUGAGUGCUAAGUGU
Molecule: ribosomal RNA, 726 nt
Filed under: uncultured bacterium
Lineage: Bacteria
Description: bacterial SSU rRNA
Rfam family: Bacterial small subunit ribosomal RNA
Source: RNAcentral